RNAcentral lists this ribosomal RNA (253 nucleotides) under uncultured bacterium. RNAcentral's name for it is "partial 16S ribosomal RNA". It matches the Rfam family "Bacterial small subunit ribosomal RNA", at positions 524 to 776 of the family's 1533-position model. The record is from RNAcentral.
GACGAGCCUCACAAACGUUAUUCGGAAUCACUGGGCUUAAAGGGUGCGUAGGCGGUGUGGCUAGUCGGGUGUGAAAUCCCUCAGCUUAACUGAGGAACUGCACUCGAUACUUCCAUGCUAGAGUAAGACAGAGGUGAGUGGAACUGAGGGUGGAGCGGUGAAAUGCGUUGAUAUCCUCAGGAACACCGGUGGCGAAGGCGACUCACUGGGUCUUUACUGACGCUGAUGCACGAAAGCUAGGGUAGCAAACGGG